This is a long non-coding RNA of Labrus mixtus (cuckoo wrasse), 634 nucleotides long. RefSeq lists it as uncharacterized. NCBI's taxonomy places the organism in Eukaryota, Metazoa, Chordata, Actinopteri, Labriformes, Labridae. The record is from RefSeq and is a predicted model, not a curated record. The transcript has 2 exons.
UCCAUUUGUGUGUAGUUUGUCAUUCCCUGUCUGUCUGAUCCUCAUGUUUCUCUCCCCUGUCUGUUGUUCUGUCUGAGUGUGGUGGGCGUGGCUUUCCCUUCAUGAUCAGGACUCACUCCAUAAAGACUUCUCUCUGCCCUCUACUAGACACCAGAUUGUUUCAUUAGCUUGUGCGGUAUCAUACUAUCUUGGCUCCUCUGUGAUUUCUGUUCCUUGUUGUUUUAGCUUGUGUAGCUAACCCCCUUUUUUCUUCUCUGCCUUGCCACAGAUGGCCUUACUUGCAUUGUGCUCCCGUGCUCUCUUCACUGCUUGCCUGCCGUUUGCUCUCCUGUGCACCUUUUGGACGAGAAACUGGGAUUCACAGAACACUGCCACAGUCACUCGUCUACUCACCUGCCACGUUGGAUCCUGGGACACUGCACUAGCCCUCCCAGGACUGCCCCUGGCCAGGGAUGCUGUGUCUGUACAACUGCUGUGUGAUGUGUCUAUACUAAACCUGCUGGUUGAGGGCCCUGGUAAAGUGCUGGUUGCUGCCUCUGGGCCUGCUGAUGACUCAUCUGCAUCUCCUCCACACAUUUUAGCAUUGACCCUGUUAUGAGAAGAAAUCCAGACAGUGAAACCAUCUUAAAGCAGA